Non-coding RNA from Chrysemys picta bellii (western painted turtle), 381 nucleotides. NCBI's taxonomy places the organism in Eukaryota, Metazoa, Chordata, Testudines, Emydidae. The record is from the annotation of a RefSeq genome assembly.
AUGGCCACGGUCCGGGACUCAGCCAUUGUGCUGAUUUUGCUUUUCAGCUCCAGCAUGGAAGAUGCUGUAACUCAGACCCAGCCGGCAGUGUCAGGGGUGGAGCGCGAGUCCGUUUCCCUGGACUGCACCUAUGAAACUGCGACUAGCAGCUAUUAUUUGUAUUGGUACAAACGGCCCCCCGGGGAAAGCCUUAAUUUCCUUAUUCGGCAACAUUCUGGUGGAACGAAGAGGAAUGAGGCCGGGGAGAGAUUCUCUGUCAAUUUGGAGAAGUCCAAAAGCUCCGUCAGUUUGAGGAUCACAGCUCUGGAGUUGGGGGACGCGGCCAUGUACUUCUGCGCUUUCAGUAGAGACACGGUGUUGAAAAUUCCUAGGGAGCCCUGA